RNAcentral lists this ribosomal RNA (669 nucleotides) under Triticum aestivum (bread wheat). RNAcentral's name for it is "partial small subunit ribosomal RNA". Lineage: Eukaryota; Viridiplantae; Streptophyta; Magnoliopsida; Poales; Poaceae. The record is from RNAcentral.
AUGCCCAGCAGCAAAGCGAGCCCGGGCGCCCGCGGGCCAUGGAGCGACGGCGAGACGUCGGCUCUCGUGGACGCCUGGGGCCCGCUGUACCUCCGCCGCGACCCAGACCCCCUCGGCGUGGAGGACUGGCGCGUCGUGUGCAGCGCCGUCAACGCCCAGCGCGCCGCCGAAGGUUGCCGCUUCAACCGCACCCUCGUCCAGUGCCAGAAGCGCGUCUACACUCUCAAGGACCAGUACAUGAAGGAGCUCGCCAAGGGGCGGCCGGCGUCGGGGUGGCGCCACUUCGCCCGGCUCCGGGCCUUCCUGGCCGCCUCGCCUCCUGGCUUCGUUGGCAAGAGGCCGGCGGCAUCCGUCAAGAAGGAGAAGGCCGCCAAGACGCCGACGGCAUCGUCCUUCAAGAAGGAGAAGGUGCAGGAGGCGAGCCCCGGCUUCCUGGCAACGAUGCCGGCGACCGUCAAGAAUGAGGAGGUGGUCGGCUGUGGUUGUGAGUUGGUUGGGAGAGCGAGGUGUUGUCCGGGGGCGGUGGUGACGAAGCUUGCGGGGGUGUAUGAACGCGUGCAGAUGAGGAGGCUCAACGUCGAGGAGAAGAGGAUGGAGAAGAUCUCAUGUUGCAGCCUGGGACACAAGAAGAUGAAGAUCGAGAAUCCGGAGGAAACUGACGGCAACUAA